This 607-nucleotide long non-coding RNA is filed under the name Rattus norvegicus (Norway rat). Its description in RNAcentral is "long non-coding RNA NONRATT031777". Lineage: Eukaryota; Metazoa; Chordata; Mammalia; Rodentia; Muridae. The record is from RNAcentral.
CCUUGCUCAAAUCAAGAUAUUACCUCUUAUCCGUCAAAUUGAAUUUUCCUCCAGUAAGAACUUCCACUCUCAGUCGUGAGAGGAGACUCUUCCUCCUGCAGAAGCUUUGAGCUCACACAAGUUUCCUAAUCAAGCAGCUGAGAGGGUGACUCCUUGUCAGAAGAGGAGGAUCCUGUGCAAGCACUGAGUUCUCUGGAACAUUAAAGGCGAGCCAUCGUUGAUUGGCCUCAACUCUUGUGAAGGGUCUCAUUCGCAUGAAAAUAUGCUACAACCUCUGAGCUUGUCUCUGCCGACACUCACAAAAGUAAAAGAUGUCACACAGAACACCCAAGUCCAUCAUCUUCCAUCUCAGGGACCAACGGUAAUGGCUUCAGCGGCAUCACCGUGCCCAUUGAAAGGAUGGAAAUGACAACCGAGAGCCGCAAUGUGGCCAGGCUGCAGGGGCCAGACCGAGGUUGCAUGGGCAGGGUUUCUGUUGCUGGGAUGAAGCGCCAUGACCAAAAAUAAACCAACUCAGGGAGGAAAUUGGUUAUUUGGCUUACACUUCAAAGUCACUGUUGACCAUCAAAGGAGUCAGGAUGGGAACAUAAACAAGGUAGGAACCUGG